Molecule: ribosomal RNA, 425 nt
Filed under: Proshermacha sp. MYG429
Lineage: Eukaryota; Metazoa; Arthropoda; Arachnida; Araneae; Anamidae
Description: partial large subunit ribosomal RNA
Rfam family: Archaeal large subunit ribosomal RNA
Source: RNAcentral
UAAAAGAGUUAACUUUUAGUAAACCCUGCUCAAUGAGUAUUAAAUAGCCGCAAAAUUUGUGCUAAGGUAGCAUAAUCAUUUGCCUAAUAAUUAUAGGAUAGCAUGAAAGGGAUAACAUGUAAAUUUCUAUAUAAAGAGAAUUAUUCUAACUUACUAAGUAAGUUAAAACUCUUACAAAAUUAGAGGGACGAUAAGACCCUGUCAAACUUUACCAUAAAGUUGAGCUGGGGCGGCAGAAAAUAAUACCUUUACUUACUUAACACAAUAAAUCCUAUAUAAAUGAUAAAACAAGUUACUGCAGGGAUAACAGCACGAUCACCCAUAAAAGACCUUAUAAAACGGGUGGUUUGUGACCUCGAUGUUGAAUUAAAGAUCUUUUUGAGGCAGUCCUCUAAUAAGAAAGUCUGUUCGACUUUUAAACCAUU